UACGUAGGUGGCAAGCGUUGUCCGGAUUUACUGGGCGUAAAGAGCGCGCAGGCGGUCGGAUAAGUCGAAUGUGAAAGCCCCCGGCUCAACUGGGGAGGGUCAUUCGAUACUGUUCGACUCGAAGGCAGGGGAGGGAAGUGGAAUUCCCGGUGUAGUGGUGAAAUGCGUAGAUAUCGUUUGGAACGCCAAUGGUGAAAACAGACAGCUGGGAGUGUGCUGACGCUGAGACACGAAAGCCAGGGGAGCGAACGGG
This 253-nucleotide ribosomal RNA is filed under the name uncultured bacterium. Its description in RNAcentral is "partial 16S ribosomal RNA". It matches the Rfam family "Bacterial small subunit ribosomal RNA", at positions 524 to 776 of the family's 1533-position model. The record is from RNAcentral.